AUGCUCACUUCAGCAGCACAUAUACAAAAAUUGGAAUGAUACAGAGAUUAGCAUGGCCCCUGUGCAAGGAUGACAGGAAAAUUCGUGAAGCAUUCCAUAUUAAA
Balaenoptera ricei (Rice's whale) is the source of this 104-nucleotide small nuclear RNA. The record is from RefSeq and is a predicted model, not a curated record. NCBI's taxonomy places the organism in Eukaryota, Metazoa, Chordata, Mammalia, Artiodactyla, Balaenopteridae.